AGAGAGAGAGAGAGAGAAAGGGAGGGAUGGAAAGACCUUAUUCUGCACCGUGAAACGAGUAGGAUUCAGUCACUGGCUGCUCACCUUCACAGACAGACAAGGAGAAGGCUGCUUGGGUAGAUUGUGUUUGAGGAGACACUCAGUCUGAGCUCACGGCUAAAUCAUGGAUCAGAAGCCCACUUCACCCCAGAGACAUGCGGUGAAAAGCAGGUCAAAGUCUACAGAGGAAGUCCAGCAAGCUAAAAAGGCCUUCCACAUACCCCAGAAAUCACUGCCUGGAGGGUCAGAGCUGGAAAAGGUGAAGGAAGGACCAGAAGAAAAUGUGACUCCAGCAUCAUCCACAGAAGAGCUGAAGUGAUGCAGCCAUUCAUCUGUGUUUAUCUCACACACAAACACACACAUAAAGAUAAAUGCUUGUUUUUAUAUAUAAACAAGGUUUGAUUUAAAGUAUUAGCUCUUUCUUUUGUAAGGUGAUUUUCAGUACAGCUCAACACACGCAGAAACACGAAACACGUCGACCUGAAGCAUGUUAAGUCUGUCUGCGCUGCAUCUCUGUACACUGACAUGCUGUUUAUAUAAACUCAGUGCUUUCACUAUGAACAUCAGGGCAUGUGUGCUUUCACAUUUAAAGAAGCUCAAGCGAAAUUAGAUCAGUGGUUUGAUUAAAAUUGGAACUUUGUGGCUUUUUAGUCUAUAGCUUUGAGCUCGUCCAUAGAUAGAGUGAAAAUGCUAAUUACUUUUUUUGUGUGUGUGAAUAGUAUCUUUCUUUUAUUACCCAAUCAUAAUUUCUGCACAACCAGCAGAUGGUGUCAAUGUGUAAAUUUUGGCUGUCAUAUUAAUAGUUUUGAUGUUUGACAUUAUAAAUCUACAGAUACCCUAAGGGACUUGUUGAUGGAAAAAAUCUGAGAUGAAAGAAUUACAUUGCUUUUGUACUGAAUGCGUUUGCAUAUUGCAUUACAAAAGUGACAGAAAGCAAAGUUAGCAAGCGAACAUAAUCACGAUUUGCAAUUUUUUCCCUCACAUAUCAAAAUGAGUAAAUGCUUUUUUCUAUUUGAUAAAAACACUUACUGCGGGCUUGUUUCUACAAUGGGAUGUUUGUAGUACACUCCAGCUCUCAUGUUUUUGGGCCCAUGUGAGUCAAAUAGUGUUAAAUACUCAUCCGGCGACAUAUUUAUUGGCAUCAGCUGAAUCACAGAGCUGACAUACUGUAUGAGUCAGCUUAAGAUGUUGUGUAAGUGUUUAUAGUACAGUUUAAACCAUUUGUGCUAAUAAACUUUUGACCACUCAUCAUGCUAAAGUUCAGUGACUGAGUGAAUUUCAGAAACAGGAGUCACUCUCACAGCUGUAAACAAGAUACAUGAAGACUGUGCAGUCUGUUUAGUGCAAGCAAUUUGAGAGCAAAGUAAAAUUAAA
This is a long non-coding RNA of Carassius auratus (goldfish), 1413 nucleotides long. RefSeq lists it as uncharacterized. The transcript is spliced from 5 exons. NCBI's taxonomy places the organism in Eukaryota, Metazoa, Chordata, Actinopteri, Cypriniformes, Cyprinidae. The record is from RefSeq and is a predicted model, not a curated record.